RNAcentral lists this ribosomal RNA (270 nucleotides) under uncultured crenarchaeote. RNAcentral's name for it is "16S ribosomal RNA". It matches the Rfam family "Archaeal small subunit ribosomal RNA", at positions 101 to 347 of the family's 1478-position model. Lineage: Archaea; Thermoproteati; Thermoproteota. The record is from RNAcentral.
UAGUCAACCUUCCCNUGGAGACAAGGUUAACCCCGGGAAACUGGGAUUAAUCCUGGAUAGGUCAUUUCAUCUGGAAUGGAGAGAUGGCUUAAAGGGGUACUAGGGCUUCUUCCAUGCAUCUGCUCCAGGAUGGGACUGCGUCCGAUCAGGCUGUUGGCGGGGUAAUGGCCCCACCAAACCUGUAACCAGUACGGGCCUUGAGAGAGGGGGCCCGGAGAUGGACACUGAGAGAAGGGUCCAGGUCCUACGGGGCGUCAGCAGGCGCGAUAA